This 813-nucleotide ribosomal RNA is filed under the name Boccardiella hamata. RNAcentral describes it as "12S ribosomal RNA". Lineage: Eukaryota; Metazoa; Annelida; Polychaeta; Spionida; Spionidae. The record is from RNAcentral.
UCCCUUGUAUUUGGUGAUAGUAUAAAUAAUGGGUAUUCCGGGUAAUUUUUCAGUAAAAGACCUAUCCUCCCCGAGCAUGUAUAACCAUAUAGCUAAUGGCAAUAUGUUUACUGCUCGCCAUUAGAAACGAAAUCUGUGUCCAUUUAUAAAAUUAAGAACCGUAGACCGGAAGAAAGUCAGGUCAAACUAAUGUGCCAGCCACCGCGGUCAGACAAGAUGGCUAACCCAAUUUCACUCCCAACUCUAUGGUAAAUUUUAGGCAUAAACCACUUAAAUAAGAGGUGUAAUUUGAAACUUAUCAUCUUACCCAUCAAUGCCGCUUCGAAACCCCAUGAAACCUAGAACCCAAACAAGGAUUAGAUACCCUUCUAUUCCUAGGCAUAAAAAGAGAACCGGUACUACAAACACAUGUUUAAAACCGAAUGCACUUGGCGGUGCCCUAACCAAUUAGGGGAACCUGUUCCUUAAUCCGAUGAUCCACGUCUUCACUUCCCCACCUUGCCUUAAGCAGCCUGUGUAUUGCCGUCGCCAGCCAAAAUAGCGAUAUUAGAGCUCCUUAUGUUCUUGGACUAUCCACCCCACAACAAGUCAGGUCGAAAUACAGCCCAUGGUGGGGCGAGAAUGGGUUACAUUUCUUAAUAGUAAUGGAAUUUAUUAAUAACAAAUAAAUGAAAUAGGACUCAAUAGUAAGUUAAAAAAAAGUAAUUUUCCUGAAUUGAGCUCUGGGGCGUGUACAAAUCGCCCGUCGCUCUCGCCGAAAGGGGAGAUAAGUCGUAACAUGGUAGGCGUACCGGAAGGUGUGCCUGCAUAUAC